RNAcentral lists this long non-coding RNA (1518 nucleotides) under Camarhynchus parvulus. RNAcentral's name for it is "lncRNA (ENSCPVG00000016753.1)". Lineage: Eukaryota; Metazoa; Chordata; Aves; Passeriformes; Thraupidae. The record is from RNAcentral.
GAACCCCCCGACACCCCCAAAAUGAGGCUGGGCGCCCCCCCCGAGCUGUGGGGUGAGGUAGAUGUGUGGUGGUGGUGGGGGUCUGGGGACCCCUCCCUGUAUUUCAUUUUGGGGGGCAGGGGGGUGGAAGAACCGGGAGGCCCCUGGGGAGAGUUCUGGGGGGGGGGGGGUGGCGAGGAGCUGGAAGCAAUUUGGGGAGGGGGGGGAUAUUGGCGGGGGGAGAUGGACGGACAGACCCCCGGUGGGGGGGAGGGGGUGUGAAGCCUUUUUUUUGGGGUGAGGGGGGGGGAUGGGGAUGCUCAGUUCCCCCCCCACCUUGCGACCCCCCCCCAAUCUUUGGUUGCAAGAGCCCCCCCCGCGGGACCCCCUGAUUGUCGCUGGGUGUGGGGGGGGACAGCGAGGAUGGGGGGCGCGGGGGGGCUCUAAAGUGCCUGAUUGACCCUCGGGGCGCCCGUCAAAGCGGGGGGGGGGGGGGAGGUUUUGGGGGGGUUAUUGCACUUGACCGACCCCCCGGGGCAGGAAUGGCUGGGGGGGGGUUGGGAAGCACCCCCGGCCCUGCGGGGGGGCUGUGCCCGGAGGUUGGGGUGGGUGGGGGGGGGAUGGGGGUUCUCUAUGGGCCCCCCUCCCCCAGCACCCCCAGACCCCGAGCCGGGGGCACCGGGGUGGGGGGGGGGCAGCAGAAGGCACGGGGGGCACCGGGGCCGGCGGGGCGCGGGCCCUGGAAGCACGAGGGGUGGGGGGCGGCCGGGACCCCCGGUGCCCCCCCCGGGGCAGCGCGCGGCAGCGGGGUCUUACCGUGCCUGCGCUGCCCAGAGAGAGGUGACCGAGCUGCUGGGCCAGGGGGGCCACCACGGAGGGCUGGAGGGGGACGGCGUGGUCAACGGCGGGGGCCAGCACCGCGCCCUGGGGGACACGGGGACAGACAUGGGGACAGACAUGGGGGACACGGCGGGGGGCCAGCACCGCGCCCUGGGGGACACGGGGACAGACAUGGGGACAGACAUGGGGACACGGCGGGGGCCAGCACCGCGCCCUGGGGGACACGGGGACAGACAUGGGGACACCGGGACAGACAUGGGGACAGACAUGGGGACACGGCGGGGGCCAGCACCGCACCAUGGGGGACACGGGGACAGACAUGGGGACAGACAUGGGGACACGGCGGGGGCCAGCACCGCGCCCUGGGGGACACGGGGACAGACAUGGGGACACCGGGACAGACAUGGGGACACAGGGACAGACAUGGGGACACGGCGGGGGCCAGCACCGCGCCCUGGGGACACGGGGACAGACAUGGGGACAGACAUGGGGACACGGCGGGGGCCAGCACCGCGCCCUGGGGGACAUGGGGACAGACAUGGGGACACCGGGACAGACAUGGGGACACAGGGACAGACAUGGGGACAGACAUGGGGACACGGCGGGGGCCAGCACCGCACCCUGGGGGACAUGGGGACAGACAUGGGGACACCGGGACAGACAUGGGGACAUGAGGACAGACAUGGGGACAGACAUGGG